GACGAACGCUGGCGGCGUGCUUAACACAUGCAAGUCGAACGGAAAGGCCCUGCUUUUGUGGGGUGCUCGAGUGGCGAACGGGUGAGUAACACGUGAGUAACCUGCCCUUGACUUUGGGAUAACUUCAGGAAACUGGGGCUAAUACCGGAUAGGAGCUCCUGCUGCAUGGUGGGGGUUGGAAAGUUUCGGCGGUUGGGGAUGGACUCGCGGCUUAUCAGCUUGUUGGUGGGGUAGUGGCUUACCAAGGCUUUGACGGGUAGCCGGCCUGAGAGGGUGACCGGCCACAUUGGGACUGAGAUACGGCCCAGACUCCUACGGGAGGCAGCAGUGGGGAAUAUUGCACAAUGGGCGGAAGCCUGAUGCAGCAACGCCGCGUGCGGGAUGACGGCCUUCGGGUUGUAAACCGCUUUCGCCUGUGACGAAGCGUGAGUGACGGUAAUGGGUAAAGAAGCACCGGCUAACUACGUGCCAGCAGCCGCGGUGAUACGUAGGGUGCGAGCGUUGUCCGGAUUUAUUGGGCGUAAAGGGCUCGUAGGUGGUUGAUCGCGUCGAAAGUGUAAUCUUGGGGCUUAACCCUGAGCGUGCUUUCGAUACGGGUUGACUUGAGGAAGGUAGGGGAGAAUGGAAUUCCUGGUGGAGCGGUGGAAUGCGCAGAUAUCAGGAGGAACACCAGUGGCGAAGGCGGUUCUCUGGGCCUUUCCUGACGCUGAGGAGCGAAAGCGUGGGGAGCGAACAGGCUUAGAUACCCUGGUAGUCCACGCUGUAAACGGUGGGUACUAGGUGUGGGGUCCAUUCCACGGGUUCCGUGCCGUAGCUAACGCUUUAAGUACCCCGCCUGGGGAGUACGGCCGCAAGGCUAAAACUCAAAGGAAUUGACGGGGCCCCGCACAAGCGGCGGAGCAUGCGGAUUAAUUCGAUGCAACGCGUAGAACCUUACCUGGGUUUGACAUGGAUCGGGAGUGCUCAGAGAUGGGUGUGCCUCUUUUGGGGUCGGUUCACAGGUGGUGCAUGGCUGUCGUCAGCUCGUGUCGUGAGAUGUUGGGUUAAGUCCCGAAACGAGCGCAACCCUUGUUCACUGUCGCCAGCACGUUAUGGUGGGGACUCAGUGGAGACCGCCGGGGUCAACUCGGAGGAAGGUGGGGAUGACGUCAAGUCAUCAUGCCCCUUAUGUCCAGGGCUUCACGCAUGCUACAAUGGCUGGUACAGAGAGUGGCGAGCCUGUGAGGGUGAGCGAAUCUCGGAAAGCCGGUCUCAGUUCGGAUUGGGGUCUGCAACUCGACCUCAUGAAGUCGGAGUCGCUAGUAAUCGCAGAUCAGCAACGCUGCGGUGAAUACGUUCCCGGG
This 1343-nucleotide ribosomal RNA is filed under the name uncultured bacterium. RNAcentral describes it as "16S ribosomal RNA". It matches the Rfam family "Bacterial small subunit ribosomal RNA", at positions 28 to 1378 of the family's 1533-position model. The record is from RNAcentral.